CCCUACGGGAGGCAGCAGUGGGGAAUAUUGCACAAUGGGGGAAACCCUGAUGCAGCGACGCCGCGUGAGCGAUGAAGUAUUUCGGUAUGUAAAGCUCUAUCAGCAGGGAAGAAAAUGACGGUACCUGACUAAGAAGCCCCGGCUAACUACGUGCCAGCAGCCGCGGUAAUACGUAGGGGGCAAGCGUUAUCCGGAUUUACUGGGUGUAAAGGGAGCGUAGACGGCUGUGCAAGCCAGAUGUGAAAGCCCGGGGCUCAACCCCGGGACUGCAUUUGGAACUGCGUGGCUUGAGUGUCGGAGAGGCG
RNAcentral lists this ribosomal RNA (305 nucleotides) under uncultured bacterium. Its description in RNAcentral is "bacterial SSU rRNA". It matches the Rfam family "Bacterial small subunit ribosomal RNA", at positions 337 to 659 of the family's 1533-position model. The record is from RNAcentral.